ACACACCGCCCGUCACACCAUGAGAGUUUGUAACACCCAAAGCCGGUGGGGUAACCUUUUGGAGCCAGCCGUCUAAGGUGGGACAGAUGAUUGGGUGAAGUCGUAACAAGGUAAC
RNAcentral lists this ribosomal RNA (115 nucleotides) under uncultured bacterium. Its description in RNAcentral is "partial 16S ribosomal RNA". It matches the Rfam family "Bacterial small subunit ribosomal RNA", at positions 1385 to 1500 of the family's 1533-position model. The record is from RNAcentral.